UAUUGGAUCAUUAUUAUAGCCAGAAUGAAGAAAUUAAUUUGCAGUGGCUAAACCCACCCCGUCCAGCAGCUUUUUAUGUUUUUUCACAUUCGCUCAUCCCACACUCAGCUUCGCCCAGUGUGCCGCUCUUGGGGAGGGGGGAGAGCUAAAAGUUAUGUAGAAGUAAAUGUAUGACAGACGAAGAAAAAAUUUAAAGUUGGAAAAAACCGCUAAGGAACGCAUCUAGAUGCAUGCCAAAGAUGUUUUCUGUAAGGCUUCUUUCGGAAACUAUUCUGGAAGGGAAACCCGGGCGUUUUACGAAGUCUAAAUUACAACAACCACCACUUCUAAAAAGGAAGGAUUCUGGCGUGUUUUACCCCCUGUAAAAUUGAAGCGAAAACGUAACGCAUAUCGUACGCAUGCUUAGUGAAAGAGGGAGCGAUACAGAAGUACUGUUUGGAAGCAACAAGGAACGACUGGGUGGGAAGUCAACGCACCAACACAUACAUUACGUGCAGUGUCCGUGCAAAUCAAGAAAAACCCGGUUUGGAGCGCUAAUAAAUAACAAGGAAAACUUGUGUAUCAUUGGCUGCACUCUUGUGUCCGAUCUAGUAUACCCCACAGUACCAGAAAACAUCGAUGACGACGUAAUUACAAUUGUGCAGUGAAUUUUCGCUGUUUUUUGGUCAAAUGUAUUCAUAUGAAAAUACAUAAUGCAUUAUUUUUUACCUGGUGUUCAGUGUUUCAGUUAAAUAAUUGUAUUAAAUUGUAUCUUAAAUGUAUGCGUUUUACACAAAAUUUCAAUUUGCAAACGGUCCAUCAACAAAAACCGAAAAACCAAUCCUAAAGUCGAACAGGUACACAUUUUGACGGGAGUUUUGUCUUUUUUUUUUGGAUGACCAUAUCAACAAAAUACAGAACAUUUUUGAGACGGUCUCAUCCUGGAAGGAUUUUGAAAAGGUGAUUCAGAAAAAGAGCACGAAAAAAUAACAAUUUGGGAAAUACGAACAGCAGCUUAACUAAAAGGUUCUGUGAAAAAAACACAGAACAAAACGAAAUGUAAAUUUUAUAAUUAAAAGGAAAUAAAAAAGUUUUAUACUCAAUUUGCACAAGUUUUUUUUUUUCAGAAAAAUCUUUACCU
Molecule: long non-coding RNA, 1120 nt
Organism: Drosophila guanche
Lineage: Eukaryota; Metazoa; Arthropoda; Insecta; Diptera; Drosophilidae
Exons: 3
Source: RefSeq, a predicted model, not a curated record